This 449-nucleotide ribosomal RNA is filed under the name uncultured bacterium. Its description in RNAcentral is "bacterial SSU rRNA". It matches the Rfam family "Bacterial small subunit ribosomal RNA", at positions 355 to 796 of the family's 1533-position model. The record is from RNAcentral.
UCGAGAAUCAUUCGCAAUGGGCGCAAGCCUGACGAUGCGACGCCGUGUGAGCGAUGAAGGCCUUAGGGUCGUAAAGCUCUUUCGCCUGGGAACAAGAGAAGCCGGCUAAUAUCCGGCCAAUUUGAGCGUACCAGGUAAAGAAGCACCGGCUAACUCCGUGCCAGCAGCUGCGGUAAUACGGAGGGUGCAAGCAUUAAUCGGAUUUAUUGGGCGUAAAGGACGCGUAGGCGGUAAGGUAAGUCGGGUGUGAAAUCCCGGAGCUCAACUCCGGAACAGCACUUGAAACUACUUUUCUAGAGGGUAGGCGGGGAAAACGGAAUUCCACAAGUAGCGGUGAAAUGCGUAGAUAUGUGGAAGAACACCUGUGGCGAAAGCGGUUUUCCAGCUUAUUCCUGACGCUGAGGCGUGAAAGCAAGGGGAGCAAACAGGAUUAGAUACCCCCGUAGUCC